This 287-nucleotide unclassified non-coding RNA is filed under the name Hevea brasiliensis (rubber tree). Lineage: Eukaryota; Viridiplantae; Streptophyta; Magnoliopsida; Malpighiales; Euphorbiaceae. The record is from RNAcentral.
GUCACCGGAUUUUGAAUUCUUGUUUGAAGGUUUUCUAUCGCAAAAGAGUCCAAGCAAGCUGGACCUUCAUAGCUUGAUGCCUUCAGUUUGCUGGCCUGGUUCAUGUGAGGAUAUUUCCUAUGGAUCUAGCAUGUUGUUGACAACUACAGCUUUAUCUGAAGCAGUCAGCAAGAUUGAGGAGAAGCAUAGGGACCUUUGUCUUUUGGUCAUACAGUUUAUACCACCCACAACACCUUCCCAGUUACCUGGUUCAGUGUUUAGGACAUUUUUACAGAGUCUUUUGUUGA